This 104-nucleotide non-coding RNA is filed under the name Xenorhabdus innexi. The record is from RNAcentral. Lineage: Bacteria; Pseudomonadati; Pseudomonadota; Gammaproteobacteria; Enterobacterales; Morganellaceae.
AGAUUUUGGUGACUGCGCUCUUCCGAAGCCAGUUACCUCGGUUCAAAGAGUUGGUAGCUCUAAGAACCAUGGAGAACCACCGUUGGUAGCGGUGGUUCUUUUAU